RNAcentral lists this ribosomal RNA (907 nucleotides) under uncultured Streptococcus sp. Its description in RNAcentral is "bacterial SSU rRNA". It matches the Rfam family "Bacterial small subunit ribosomal RNA". The record is from RNAcentral. Lineage: Bacteria; Bacillati; Bacillota; Bacilli; Lactobacillales; Streptococcaceae.
GACGAACGCUGGCGGCGUGCCUAAUACAUGCAAGUAGAACGCUGAAGGAGGAGCUUGCUUCUCCGGAUGAGUUGCGAACGGGUGAGUAACGCGUAGGUAACCUGCCUGGUAGCGGGGGAUAACUAUUGGAAACGAUAGCUAAUACCGCAUAACAGAAGAUGUUGCAUGACAUUUGCUUAAAAGGUGCAAUUGCAUCACUACCAGAUGGACCUGCGUUGUAUUAGCUAGUUGGUGGGGUAACGGCUCACCAAGGCGACGAUACAUAGCCGACCUGAGAGGGUGAUCGGCCACACUGGGACUGAGACACGGCCCAGACUCCUACGGGAGGCAGCAGUAGGGAAUCUUCGGCAAUGGACGGAAGUCUGACCGAGCAACGCCGCGUGAGUGAAGAAGGUUUUCGGAUCGUAAAGCUCUGUUGUAAGAGAAGAACGAGUGUGAGAGUGGAAAGUUCACACUGUGACGGUAUCUUACCAGAAAGGGACGGCUAACUACGUGCCAGCAGCCGCGGUAAUACGUAGGUCUCGAGCGUUGUCCGGAUUUAUUGGGCGUAAAGCGAGCGCAGGCGGUUAGAUAAGUCUGAAGUUAAAGGCUGUGGGCUUAACCAUAGUACGCUUUGGAAACUGUUUAACUUGAGUGCAAGAGGGGAGAGUGGAAUUCCAUGUGUAGCGGUGAAAAUGCGUAGAUAUAUGGAGGGAUCACCGGUGGCGAAAGCGGCUCUCGGGCUUGUAACUGACGCUUAGGCUCGGAUGGCGUGGGGAGCAAACUGGUUUAUAUACCCUUUGUAGUUGAAGGGGCAAAUCUCACAGUGGAUAUGUUGAUUGUGCGAUACCGGCUCCUGUGUGGGGGGCAAAGGAGAAACAGAAUGUGUGACCUUUUGUGAGGUUAAUUAUGUGCUGCGCAUUGAUCU